UAGCUCUACCUUAAGCUUCUAAAUUAAACCAAAAACCCUUCAAAGCUUAAGAGCUAUUCAAAUAAGGCACAGCUUAUUUGAAAUAGGGCACAGCCUCUGACACUGGGUAAACAAGGGUAACUCAAACAAAGUCGGCCUAAAAGCAGCCACCUUUUAAAAAGCGUUAAAGCUUAAUUAUAUAUUACCCACAAUUCCCUAAAUUCCCAUUAACCCUUCACCACUACUGAACUAUUUUAUACUCUUAUAAAAGCUAUUAUGCUAGAACUAGUAACAAGAAGUAGUCCUUCUCCAAAAUGUAAGCUUACACCAAAAUGGACAAUCCGUUGGUAAUUAACGCAAAUGUCAUAAUCACAGCAACACACCUCUAGAGAACCCUGUGACCUCUUACGUUACCCUUACACUUGAACAUUCCUAGGAAAGAUCAAAAGAGAAAGAAGGAACUCGGCAAAUCCUCAGCCCCGCCUGUUUACCAAAAACAUCGCCUCUUGACCAAAUAUAAGAGGUCCAGCCUGCCCAGUGACAAAAUUCAACGGCCGCGGUACCCUAACCGUGCGAAGGUAGCAUAAUCACUUGUUCUCUAAAUAGGGACUAGUAUCAACGGCACCACGAGGGCUGCACUGUCUCCUUUCUCCCAUCAGUGAAACUGAUCUCCCCGUGAAGAAGCGGGGAUUAUUAUAUAAGACGAGAAGACCCCAUGGAGCUUUAAACUCAUCACUCACUUCCUCACUUCUAUGCCCUACCAUAUAAGGAACCUGUGUGAUAGUUUUGGGUUGGGGGGACCACGGAGUACAAUCUAACCUCCAUGACAAAUGGGCUACGCCCUUAUCUACGAGCUACAACUCUAAGAAUCAUAAGCUGAUGUUUGAUGACCCGAUAAUUCGAUCAACGAACCAAGUUACCCUGGGGAUAACAGCGCAAUCUACUUUAAGAGCCCCUAUCGACAAGUAGGUUUACGACCUCGAUGUUGGAUCAGGGUAUCCUGGGGGUGCAGCCGUUCCCAAUGGUUCGUUUGUUCAACGAUUAAAACCCUACGUGAUCU
Molecule: ribosomal RNA, 1039 nt
Filed under: Nidirana sp. NNU00694
Lineage: Eukaryota; Metazoa; Chordata; Amphibia; Anura; Ranidae
Also listed under: 1 other name
Description: partial large subunit ribosomal RNA
Rfam family: Bacterial large subunit ribosomal RNA
Source: RNAcentral